RNAcentral lists this ribosomal RNA (199 nucleotides) under Pluralibacter gergoviae. Its description in RNAcentral is "partial 16S ribosomal RNA". It matches the Rfam family "Bacterial small subunit ribosomal RNA", at positions 1 to 207 of the family's 1533-position model. Lineage: Bacteria; Pseudomonadati; Pseudomonadota; Gammaproteobacteria; Enterobacterales; Enterobacteriaceae. The record is from RNAcentral.
AAAUUGAAGAGUUUGAUCAUGGCUCAGAUUGAACGCUGGCGGCAGGCCUAACACAUGCAAGUCGAACGGUAGCAGAAAGAAGCUUGCUUCUUUGCUGACGAGUGGCGGACGGGUGAGUAAUGUCUGGGAAACUGCCCGAUGGAGGGGGAUAACUACUGGAAACGGUAGCUAAUACCGCAUAACGUCUUCGGACCAAAGA